Transfer RNA from Termitomyces sp. J132, 83 nucleotides. It matches the Rfam family "tRNA". From Rfam's summary of the family: Transfer RNA (tRNA) molecules are approximately 80 nucleotides in length. The record is from Rfam. Lineage: Eukaryota; Fungi; Basidiomycota; Agaricomycetes; Agaricales; Lyophyllaceae.
GGCGCUGUAGUGUAGCGGUUAUCACUCAAGAUUCUGAUACCUACUUAUUUCUUGAAACCCAGGUUCGAUUCCUGGCAGCGCCU